Molecule: ribosomal RNA, 300 nt
Filed under: Chaetogaster cf. diastrophus MK-2019
Lineage: Eukaryota; Metazoa; Annelida; Clitellata; Tubificida; Naididae
Description: partial 16S ribosomal RNA
Source: RNAcentral
GCAUAAUAACUUGCCCAUUAAUUGUGGGCUAGAAUGAAUGGAAAAACGAAGUAAUAGCUGUCUCUAAUAGUUUAAUAAAAAAUAAUAUUUUAGUGAAGAAGCUAAAAUAAAUUCACAGGACAAGAAGACCCUAUAGAGCUUUAUUUAUAAUAUACAAUAGUAGUAUAGAAAAAUUCAGUUGGGGCGACUAAGGAAGAAAUCAUCCUAAUUUUAUAAGAUACACAUAUCAAACAAAAGAUCCUAAAUAUAGAUCAAAGAAAUUAGCUACCUUAGGGAUAACAGGCUAAUUCUCCUGGAAAG